This 253-nucleotide ribosomal RNA is filed under the name uncultured bacterium. Its description in RNAcentral is "partial 16S ribosomal RNA". It matches the Rfam family "Bacterial small subunit ribosomal RNA", at positions 524 to 776 of the family's 1533-position model. The record is from RNAcentral.
GACGGAAGGUGCAAGCGUUGUCCGGAAUUAUUGGGCGUAAAGCGCGCGCAGGCGGUCCUUUAAGUCUGAUGUGAAAGCCCUCGGCUCAACCGAGGAGGGUCAUUGGAAACUGGAGGACUUGAGUGCAGAAGAGGAAAGUGGAAUUCCAAGUGUAGCGGUGAAAUGCGUAGAGAUUUGGAGGAACACCAGUGGCGAAGGCGACUUUCUGGUCUGUAACUGACGCUGAGGCGCGAAAGCGUGGGGAGCAAACAGG